UACGAAGGGGGCUAGCGUUGUUCGGAAUUACUGGGCGUAAAGCGCGCGUAGGCUGCAUUGCAAGUCAGAUGUGAAAUCCCAGGGCUUAACCCUGGAACUGCAUUUGAAACUGCAAUGCUGGAAUCUCGGAGGGGGUAGCGGAAUUUCUAAUGUAGGGGUGAAAUCCGUAGAUAUUAGAAGGAACACCGGUGGCGAAGGCGGCUACCUGGACGAGUAUUGACGCUGAGGCGCGAAAGUGUGGGGAGCAAACAGG
RNAcentral lists this ribosomal RNA (253 nucleotides) under uncultured bacterium. RNAcentral describes it as "partial 16S ribosomal RNA". It matches the Rfam family "Bacterial small subunit ribosomal RNA", at positions 524 to 776 of the family's 1533-position model. The record is from RNAcentral.